Molecule: ribosomal RNA, 494 nt
Filed under: uncultured bacterium
Lineage: Bacteria
Description: bacterial SSU rRNA
Rfam family: Bacterial small subunit ribosomal RNA
Source: RNAcentral
AUUGAACGCUGGCGGCAUGCCUUACACAUGCAAGUCGAACGGCAGCGCGGGGCAACCUGGCGGCGAGUGGCGAACGGGUGAGUAAUAUAUCGGAACAUACCCUAGAGUGGGGGAUAACGUAGCGAAAGUUACGCUAAUACCGCAUACGCACUAAGGUGGAAAGUGGGGGAUUCGCAAGAACCUCAUGCUCAUGGAGUGGCCGAUAUCUGAUUAGCUAGUUGGUGAGGUAAAGGCUCACCAAGGCAACGAUCAGUAGUUGGUUUGAGAGAACGACCAGCCACACUGGAACUGAGACACGGUCCAGACUCCUACGGGAGACAGCAGUGGGGAAUUUUGGACAAUGGGGGGCAACCCUGAUCCAGCAAUGCCGCGUGAGUGAAGAAGGCCUUCGGGUUGUAAAGGACUCUUUGUUCUAGGGAAGAAACGGUAGAGAGCUAAUAUCUCUUGUCUAAUGACGGUACCUGAAGAAUAAGCACCGGCUAACUACGUAGCCA